AUCAUGGCUCAGAUUGAACGCUGGCGGAAUGCUUUACACAUGCAAGUCGAACGGCAGCACGGGGCAACCUGGUGGCGAGUGGCGAACGGGUGAGUAAUACAUCGGAACGUGCCCAAUCGUGGGGGAUAACGUAGCGAAAGCUACGCUAAUACCGCAUACGAUCUACGGAUGAAAGCGGGGGAUCGCAAGACCUCGCGCGAAUGGAGCGGCCGAUGGCAGAUUAGGUAGUUGGUGGGGUAAAGGCUCACCAAGCCUGCGAUCUGUAGCUGGUCUGAGAGGACGACCAGCCACACUGGAACUGAGACACGGUCCAGACUCCUACGGGAGGCAGCAGUGGGGAAUUUUGGACAAUGGGCGCAAGCCUGAUCCAGCCAUUCCGCGUGCAGGAUGAAGGCCCUCGGGUUGUAAACUGCUUUUGUACGGAACGAAAAGGCUUUCUCUAAUACAGGGGGCUCAUGACGGUACCGUAAGAAUAAGCACCGGCUAACUACGUG
Molecule: ribosomal RNA, 494 nt
Filed under: uncultured bacterium
Lineage: Bacteria
Description: bacterial SSU rRNA
Rfam family: Bacterial small subunit ribosomal RNA
Source: RNAcentral